RNAcentral lists this ribosomal RNA (253 nucleotides) under uncultured bacterium. RNAcentral's name for it is "partial 16S ribosomal RNA". It matches the Rfam family "Bacterial small subunit ribosomal RNA", at positions 524 to 776 of the family's 1533-position model. The record is from RNAcentral.
UACGUAGGGGGCAAGCGUUGUCCGGAUUUAUUGGGCGUAAAGAGCGUGUAGGCGGCUUUACAGGUCCGUUGUGAAAACUCGAGGCUCAACCUCGAGACGCCGGUGGAAACCGUAAAGCUAGAGUCCGGAAGAGGAGAGUGGAAUUCCUGGUGUAGCGGUGAAAUGCGCAGAUAUCAGGAGGAACACCGGUGGCGAAAGCGGUUUCCUGGCCGAGUACUGACGCUGAGGCACGAAGGCGUGGGGAGCGAACGGG